Molecule: ribosomal RNA, 253 nt
Filed under: uncultured bacterium
Lineage: Bacteria
Description: partial 16S ribosomal RNA
Rfam family: Bacterial small subunit ribosomal RNA
Source: RNAcentral
UACGUAGGGUGCAAGCGUUGUCCGGAAUUACUGGGCGUAAAGAGCUCGUAGGUGGUUUGUCGCGUUGUUCGUGAAAACUCACAGCUCAACUGUGGGCGUGCGGGCGAUACGGGCAGACUUGAGUACUGCAGGGGAGACUGGAAUUCCUGGUGUAGCGGUGAAAUGCGCAGAUAUCAGGAGGAACACCGAUGGCGAAGGCAGGUCUCUGGGCCAUAACUGACGCUGAGAAGCGAAAGCAUGGGGAGCGAACAGG